Molecule: ribosomal RNA, 463 nt
Filed under: uncultured Smithella sp.
Lineage: Bacteria; Pseudomonadati; Thermodesulfobacteriota; Syntrophia; Syntrophales; Smithellaceae
Description: bacterial SSU rRNA
Rfam family: Bacterial small subunit ribosomal RNA
Source: RNAcentral
CCCGCACAAGCGGUGGAGCAUGUGGUUUAAUUCGAUGCAACGCGAAGAACCUUACCUGGGCUUGACAUCCCGGGAAUCCCUUGGAAACAAGGGAGUGCCCUUCGGGGAACCUGGAGACAGGUGCUGCAUGGCUGUCGUCAGCUCGUGUCGUGAGAUGUAGGGUUAAGUCCCGCAACGAGCGCAACCCUUGUCUUUAAUUGCCAUCAUUGAGUUGGGCACUUUAAAGAGACUGCCGGUGUUAAACCGGAGGAAGGUGGGGAUGACGUCAAGUCCUCAUGGCCCUUAUGGGUAGGGCUUCACACGUCAUACAAUGGUCGGUACAGAGGGUUGCCAACCCGCGAGGGGGAGCUAAUCCCACAAGGCCGAUCGUAGUCCGGAUCGCAGUCUGCAACUCGACUGCGUGAAGUCGGAAUCGCUAGUAAUCGUGGAUCAGCAUGUCACGGUGAAUACGUUCCCGGGUCUU